This 516-nucleotide long non-coding RNA is filed under the name Monodelphis domestica (gray short-tailed opossum). Its description in RNAcentral is "lncRNA (ENSMODG00000045019.1)". Lineage: Eukaryota; Metazoa; Chordata; Mammalia; Didelphimorphia; Didelphidae. The record is from RNAcentral.
CUGGGAUCCUUUCCAAACUUGAGAUACUCUGAUUAACGUCGCCAUUUUUUACAGAUGAGGAAACUUGGGCUUGGCAUGGUUAAAUGGCUUUGCACAGACCCUACAUCAGUGAAGUGGCAGAGAUGAGCCGAGGACCUAUGUUUGUCUCCUAGCCACAUCAAGACUUAAGAAUCAGUACCUCUCUUCCAUGAACUAUUGAGUACUAGAGUUGUGGACCCAGCUAACACCCCAGAGGGGUAUUGGGAGGACCAAAUAACUUCUUCGGAAAUAUUAAGGCAUCAUAUAAUCAUCAGUUUGGAAGUCUGUGGGACAUAGGAUCCAGGAAAAGGAAAAGAAGGAAGAAAAAGAGGAAGAUGAUGGUGGUGGUGAUAUCUCAAGAGACACCCAUGAGGUGUCUCCAGUAAUGUCCAGUGGCCUUCUUUUACAUGUGCCAUUCUCUCCAGGUAAGUAUUUCAAGAGUCCAGCACUUUGGGCAAAUUGACUCAGAUGUCAAAUUUCCUGAACACAUCUAGGUUA